RNAcentral lists this ribosomal RNA (1529 nucleotides) under Escherichia coli DEC9D. RNAcentral describes it as "bacterial SSU rRNA". It matches the Rfam family "Bacterial small subunit ribosomal RNA". Lineage: Bacteria; Pseudomonadati; Pseudomonadota; Gammaproteobacteria; Enterobacterales; Enterobacteriaceae. The record is from RNAcentral.
AGAGUUUGAUCAUGGCUCAGAUUGAACGCUGGCGGCAGGCCUAACACAUGCAAGUCGAACGGUAACAGAAAGCAGCUUGCUGCUUUGCUGACGAGUGGCGGACGGGUGAGUAAUGUCUGGGAAACUGCCUGAUGGAGGGGGAUAACUACUGGAAACGGUAGCUAAUACCGCAUAACGUCGCAAGACCAAAGAGGGGGACCUUCGGGCCUCUUGCCAUCGGAUGUGCCCAGAUGGGAUUAGCUUGUUGGUGGGGUAACGGCUCACCAAGGCGACGAUCCCUAGCUGGUCUGAGAGGAUGACCAGCCACACUGGAACUGAGACACGGUCCAGACUCCUACGGGAGGCAGCAGUGGGGAAUAUUGCACAAUGGGCGCAAGCCUGAUGCAGCCAUGCCGCGUGUAUGAAGAAGGCCUUCGGGUUGUAAAGUACUUUCAGCGGGGAGGAAGGGAGAAAGUUAAUACCUUUGCUCAUUGACGUUACCCGCAGAAGAAGCACCGGCUAACUCCGUGCCAGCAGCCGCGGUAAUACGGAGGGUGCAAGCGUUAAUCGGAAUUACUGGGCGUAAAGCGCACGCAGGCGGUUUGUUAAGUCAGAUGUGAAAUCCCCGGGCUCAACCUGGGAACUGCAUCUGAUACUGGCAAGCUUGAGUCUCGUAGAGGGGGGUAGAAUUCCAGGUGUAGCGGUGAAAUGCGUAGAGAUCUGGAGGAAUACCGGUGGCGAAGGCGGCCCCCUGGACGAAGACUGACGCUCAGGUGCGAAAGCGUGGGGAGCAAACAGGAUUAGAUACCCUGGUAGUCCACGCCGUAAACGAUGUCGACUUGGAGGUUGUGCCCUUGAGGCGUGGCUUCCGGAGCUAACGCGUUAAGUCGACCGCCUGGGGAGUACGGCCGCAAGGUUAAAACUCAAAUGAAUUGACGGGGGCCCGCACAAGCGGUGGAGCAUGUGGUUUAAUUCGAUGCAACGCGAAGAACCUUACCUGGUCUUGACAUCCACGGAAGUUUUCAGAGAUGAGAAUGUGCCUUCGGGAACCGUGAGACAGGUGCUGCAUGGCUGUCGUCAGCUCGUGUUGUGAAAUGUUGGGUUAAGUCCCGCAACGAGCGCAACCCUUAUCCUUUGUUGCCAGCGGUCCGGCCGGGAACUCAAAGGAGACUGCCAGUGAUAAACUGGAGGAAGGUGGGGAUGACGUCAAGUCAUCAUGGCCCUUACGACCAGGGCUACACACGUGCUACAAUGGCGCAUACAAAGAGAAGCGACCUCGCGAGAGCAAGCGGACCUCAUAAAGUGCGUCGUAGUCCGGAUUGGAGUCUGCAACUCGACUCCAUGAAGUCGGAAUCGCUAGUAAUCGUGGAUCAGAAUGCCACGGUGAAUACGUUCCCGGGCCUUGUACACACCGCCCGUCACACCAUGGGAGUGGGUUGCAAAAGAAGUAGGUAGCUUAACCUUCGGGAGGGCGCUUACCACUUUGUGAUUCAUGACUGGGGUGAAGUCGUAACAAGGUAACCGUAGGGGAACCUGCGGUUGGAUCACCU